UACGUAGGUGGCGAGCGUUGUCCGGAUUUACUGGGCGUAAAGGGCGUGCAGGCGGUUUGUUAAGUGCAGGGUGAAAGCUCCCGGCUCAACUGGGAGAGGUCCUUGCAUACUGGCGAACUCGAGGGAGGCAGAGGAAAGUGGAAUUCCCGGUGUAGUGGUGAUAUGCGUAGAUAUCAGGAGGAACACCAAUUGCGAAGGCAGCUCGCUGGGACGUUACUGACGCUGAGACGCGAAAGCGUGGGGAGCAAACAGG
RNAcentral lists this ribosomal RNA (253 nucleotides) under uncultured bacterium. Its description in RNAcentral is "partial 16S ribosomal RNA". It matches the Rfam family "Bacterial small subunit ribosomal RNA", at positions 524 to 776 of the family's 1533-position model. The record is from RNAcentral.